GUUCCUUUAGUUAAAUGGAUAUAACAGGCCCCUCCUAAGGGUCAGUUGAGGGUUCGAUUCCCCCAAGGAACG
This 72-nucleotide transfer RNA is filed under the name Acetatifactor sp. Its description in RNAcentral is "tRNA-Arg". It matches the Rfam family "tRNA". Rfam says of the family: Transfer RNA (tRNA) molecules are approximately 80 nucleotides in length. Their secondary structure includes four short double-helical elements and three loops (D, anti-codon, and T loops). The record is from RNAcentral. RNAcentral also lists the same sequence under 2 other names. Lineage: Bacteria; Bacillati; Bacillota; Clostridia; Lachnospirales; Lachnospiraceae.